RNAcentral lists this small nuclear RNA (104 nucleotides) under Microcebus murinus (gray mouse lemur). Lineage: Eukaryota; Metazoa; Chordata; Mammalia; Primates; Cheirogaleidae. The record is from RNAcentral.
GUGUUCGCUUCAGCAGCACAUACACUAAAAUUGGAACGAUACAGAGAUUAGCAUGCCCCCUGUGCAAGGACGACAUGCAAAUUUGUGAAGCGUUCCAUAAAAAA